RNAcentral lists this ribosomal RNA (217 nucleotides) under uncultured bacterium. RNAcentral describes it as "partial 16S ribosomal RNA". It matches the Rfam family "Bacterial small subunit ribosomal RNA", at positions 524 to 739 of the family's 1533-position model. The record is from RNAcentral.
UACGUAGGGGGCAAGCGUUGUCCGGAAUCAUUGGGCGUAAAGAGCGCGUAGGCGGUCCAGUAAGUCCGCUCUGAAAGUCCGGGGCUCAACCCCGGGAGGCGGGCGGAUACUGCUGGGCUAGAGUCCGGAAGAGGCGAGUGGAAUUCCUGGUGUAGCGGUGAAAUGCGCAGAUAUCAGGAGGAACACCAAUGGGCGAAGGCAGCUCGCUGGGACGGUA